This 918-nucleotide long non-coding RNA is filed under the name Marmota monax (woodchuck). The record is from RNAcentral. Lineage: Eukaryota; Metazoa; Chordata; Mammalia; Rodentia; Sciuridae.
GGACAGUGGACACACCUGAAGUUUCCAAGGGGUGACAACUGAGUAGGGUAAUGGAUGCACAGCUAGUUAAAUCUUUUAUUUAACUAUUUUUUGUAGAGUGCUUGUCUUAUUCCCUUAUUCCUUGCCCUCCUGGCCUGGAUGCCAACCUCCAGGAAGAGUGCUGGCAGGUUGGCAUCCCCAGGUGAGUGCCCAGUGAGCAUCUGCAAGGAAGAGCACCAUAGAACAGAGGCAACAUCAGGGAUGUGUAAACUGAGCUGCAGGGCAGAAGGAGGAGGAAACUGUCGGAGAAAGAAAGGGCUGGGAGGCUGGAGAUGUGGCUCAAGUGGUAGCGUGCUUACCUGGCAUGCAUGAGGCACUGGGUUCGAUCCUUGGCACCACAUAAAAAUAAAGUAAUAAAAAAUUGUCCUAUAAAUGUGAAAUAAAGAAAGAAAGAAAAAGAAACGGCUGGGACUGUAGCUCAGUAGUGGGAGUACUUGCCUUGUAUGCAGAGGGCCUUGGGUUCAUUUCCCAUUCCUGGAAAAAGUUUUAUUUUCAAGGGAGAGGAGGUUGACUAAAUGGCCACUUCGUGUAAGCUGCUAAGCAAUAAGCAAUGUUGGAAAAUCCUGGUAGUGCUGUGCAUUUGCUCCCCUCCCCACCGCAAAAAAAAAGGGGAUACUACAUUCACAAUAAAACCCUGGUGGCUGGGCAUGGUGAUGCACAUCUGUAAUCCCAGAAACUCCAGAGGCUGAGGCAGGAGAAUUGCAAGUCCAGCCUCAGUAAUUUAGCAAGAUUCUGUCUCAGAAAACCCUAGUGUUACUUUAUGUGUAAAUAUGCCACCAUCCCAGAUUUUAAAGAAUAUUCUUCAAAAGCAUGGGAAAUACUUUUGGUGUUGUAGCAUAUCAAUUUUCUUUGAUGUCUUUGAGGAAGAUAUCUUCUCCA